GGGAUGUGAUGAGUGGUCAAAACUCGCAAGUGUAUGCGAGAGGGGUGUCCGCUCCCGCCUGGUUACGACAAUGGGGCACUCUCCCUUUAACCAAUCUGAUCCC
Non-coding RNA from Cajanus cajan (pigeon pea), 103 nucleotides. Lineage: Eukaryota; Viridiplantae; Streptophyta; Magnoliopsida; Fabales; Fabaceae. The record is from Rfam.